AGUCCCUGUGAUUGUGUGAAGAUGUCUAAAGUCCAAAUGCUAAAUGCGUUGGUGAAGCAGCGACUAACCGCGGCUGUUGAAGAGAUAUUGGGCUGUUUGAGAGAACGAUAGCCGAGUACGAGGAGAACUGUGUCGGUCGAAAGAGAGAAACGAGCGACAACGGAACCUUCUAGACGCUGAUGUCCAGCAGCUGUCGGUGAGUAAAGAACAGGUUCCCCCUGAGCAGUGGGAGUGGAGCCCCAGUCUGGACCAGCAGCACCCAGAGCCCCCACACAUUAAAGAGGAGCAGCAGGAGCUCUGGGUCAGCCAGGAGAGAGAGCAGCUUCAAGGGCUGGAGGAGGCUGAUAGCACCAAGUUCCCAUUCCCUGUGAAGAGUGAAGAUGAUGAAGAGAAACCUCAGCCCUCAGAGCUUCAUCAAAGACAAACUGAACAGAUGGAAGGAGAAGCUGAUGGAGAGGACUGUGGAGGACUAGAACCAGCCAAGAACUCAGAUCCAGAUAUAGAUUUACAUAUAAAUUCUGAAGACCAGACUGGAGACUCUUCUGAACCUGAGAUUGAUGACAGUUAUGAGUGGAAGAAUACCAGAGAAGCUCAGUCAGGUUUAAACUCUUUGGAAAAGAAUGGUGUUCAUGUCUGUCAUUCGAGUUGCAGUAGGCCUGCUUGUCAGAAACCAUUUAUCUGCUCUGAGUGUGGCAGAAGAUUUGGCUGCAAGUCACAUCUGAAGGGCCACAUGAUUAUCCACACAGGACAGAAACCUUUCAGCUGCUCAGUUUGUAAAAAAUCUUUUGCACGGAAUGAUUAUUUGCAGUUACACAUGAGAACCCACACAGGAGAGAGACCUUUCAGCUGUGCAUUUUGUAUUAAAUCUUUUGCACGGAAUGAUUAUUUGCAGUUACACAUGAGAAUCCACACAGGAGAGAAAAGAUUCAGCUGCAGUGUUUGUGACCAGAGAUUCACUUGGCUUCAUCAGUUCAGAAACCAUCAGCGUGUGUGUUGUCAGCCCUCACAGCUUCAUCAAAGACAAACUGAACAGAUGGAAACCGAAGCUGAUGGAGAGGACUGUGGAGGACCAGAACCAGCCAGGAAAUCAGAUCCACAUAGACGUCCAGAACCAAAAACUGAGGACCAGACUGGAGACUUUUCUUAACCUGAGACUAAUAGACAGUAAUGAUUAGGAGACCACCUCAGCCAGGUUUAAACACUCAACAUAAUAAUGAAAUCCUAGUGCCAGACACUUAUUAUUG
Long non-coding RNA from Etheostoma spectabile (orangethroat darter), 1244 nucleotides. RefSeq lists it as uncharacterized. Lineage: Eukaryota; Metazoa; Chordata; Actinopteri; Perciformes; Percidae. The record is from RefSeq and is a predicted model, not a curated record. The transcript is spliced from 2 exons.